UCGCUGGCGGCGUGCUCCACACAUGUUAAGUCGAGCGAGACAGUUGGGGCGCAACCCUGUCGAGUACAGUGGCAGACGGGAUAACACGUGAACAACCUACCCUCGAGUGGGGAAUAACACCGCGAAAGCGGUGCUAAUACCGCAUAAGAUCUAAUGGUCGCAUUGCCGAGAGAUCAAAACCGAAAGGUGCUUGAGGAGGGGUUCGCGGCUGAUUAGCUAGUUGGUGAGGUAACGGCCCACCAAGGCGACGAUCAGUAGCCGGCCUGAGAGGGCGGACGGCCACACUGUAACUGAGACACGGUCCAGACUCCUACGGGAGGCAGCAGUGGGGAAUUUUGCGCAAUGGACGAAAGUCUGACGCAGCAACGCCGCGUGGAGGAUGAAGGCCUUCGGGUCGUAAACUCCUGUCGAUGGGGACGAAAGCCCGCGAGGGAUUGACUGUACCCGUUGAGGAAGGCCACGGCUAACUCCGUGACCAGCAGACGCGGUAAUACGGAGGUGGCAAGCGUAGUUCGGAAUUACUGGGCGUAAAGGGCGCGUAAGCGGACUGACAAGUCAGAUGUGAAAGACCCGAGGCUCAACUCAGGAAUAGCAUC
This 596-nucleotide ribosomal RNA is filed under the name uncultured Acidobacteriota bacterium. RNAcentral describes it as "bacterial SSU rRNA". It matches the Rfam family "Bacterial small subunit ribosomal RNA", at positions 33 to 627 of the family's 1533-position model. The record is from RNAcentral. Lineage: Bacteria; Pseudomonadati; Acidobacteriota.